AUAAGGGCGCACGGUGGAUGCCUUGGCACUAGAAGCCGAAGAAGGACGUGACAAACGACGAAAUGCUUUGGGGAGCUGUAAGUAAGCGACGAUCCAGAGAUGUCCGAAUGGGGGAACCCACUAGCUAAUGGCUAGUACUCCUAUCUGUUAAGGAUAGGUAGAGGAAGACGCAGUGAACUGAAACAUCUAAGUAGCUGCAGGAAGAGAAAGCAAAAGCGAUUGCCUGAGUAGCGGCGAGCGAAACGGCAGGAGGGCAAACCGAAGAGUUUACUCUUCGGGGUUGUAGGACUGCAAUGUGGACUUAAAGAUUAUAGAAGAAUGACAUGGGAAGGUCAGCCAAAGAGAGUAAGAGCCUCGUAUUCGAAAUAGUCUUUAUACCUAGCAGUAUCCUGAGUACGGCGGGACACGAGAAAUCCCGUCGGAAUCUGGGAGGACCAUCUCCCAACCCUAAAUACUCUCUAGUGACCGAUAGUGAACCAGUACCGUGAGGGAAAGGUGAAAAGCACCCCGGGAGGGGAGUGAAAUAGAACCUGAAACCGUGUGCCUACAACAAGUUCGAGCCCGUUAAUGGGUGAGAGCGUGCCUUUUGUAGAAUGAACCGGCGAGUUACGAUAUGAUGCGAGGUUAAGUUGAAGAGACGGAGCCGUAGGGAAACCGAGUCUGAAUAGGGCGGAUUAGUAUUAUGUCGUAGACCCGAAACCAUGUGACCUACCCAUGAGCAGGUUGAAGGUGAGGUAAAACUCACUGGAGGACCGAACCAGGGCACGUUGAAAAGUGCUUGGAUGACUUGUGGGUAGCGGAGAAAUUCCAAACGAACUUGGAGAUAGCUGGUUCUCUCCGAAAUAGCUUUAGGGCUAGCGUCGACAUUAAGAUUCUUGGAGGUAGAGCACUGUUUGGGUGAGGGGUCCAUCCCGGAUUACCAAUCUCAGAUAAACUCCGAAUGCCAAUGAAUUAUGGUCGGCAGUCAGACUGCGAGUGCUAAGAUCCGUAGUCGAAAGGGAAACAGCCCAGACCACCAGCUAAGGUCCCAAAAUAAUUGUUAAGUGGAAAAGGAUGUGGGGUUGCACAGACAACUAGGAUGUUAGCUUAGAAGCAGCUAUUCAUUCAAAGAGUGCGUAAUAGCUCACUAGUCGAGUGACCCUGCGCCGAAAAUGUACCGGGGCUAAAACAAUUUACCGAAGCUGUGGAUACCUUUAUAGGUAUGGUAGGAGAGCGUUCUAUGUGUGGAGAAGGUGUACCGUGAGGAGCGCUGGAACGCAUAGAAGUGAGAAUGCCGGUAUGAGUAGCGAAAGACAGGUGAGAAUCCUGUCCACCGUAAGACUAAGGUUUCCAGGGGAAGGCUCGUCCGCCCUGGGUUAGUCGGGACCUAAGGAGAGACCGAAAGGUGUAUCCGAUGGACAACAGGUUGAUAUUCCUGUACUAGAGUAUGUAGUGAAGGAGGGACGCAGUAGGCUAACUAAAGCGUGCGACUGGAAGUGCACGUCUAAGCAGUGAGGUGUGAAUUGAGUUAAAUGCUUAAUUCUAUAACAUUGAGCUGUGAUGGGGAGCGAAGUUUAGUAGCGAAGUUAGUGACGUCACACUGCCAAGAAAAGCUUCUAGCGUUAAUCAUACUCUACCCGUACCGCAAACCGACACAGGUAGUCGAGGCGAGUAGCCUCAGGUGAGCGAGAGAACUCUCGUUAAGGAACUCGGCAAAAUGACCCCGUAACUUCGGGAGAAGGGGUG
RNAcentral lists this ribosomal RNA (1725 nucleotides) under human gut metagenome. RNAcentral describes it as "bacterial LSU rRNA". It matches the Rfam family "Bacterial large subunit ribosomal RNA", at positions 12 to 1750 of the family's 2925-position model. The record is from RNAcentral.